GAUGAACGCUGGCGGCGUGCCUAAUACAUGCAAGUCGAGCGAACAGACGAGGAGCUUGCUCCUCUGACGUUAGCGGCGGACGGGUGAGUAACACGUGGAUAACCUACCUAUAAGACUGGGAUAACUUCGAGAAACCGGAGCUAAUACCGGAUAAUAUAUUGAACCGCAUGGUUCAAUAGUGAAAGACGGUUUUGCUGUCACUUAUAGAUGGAUCCGCGCCGCAUUAGCUAGUUGGUAAGGUAACGGCUUACCAAGGCAACGAUGCGUAGCCGACCUGAGAGGGUGAUCGGCCACACUGGAACUGAGACACGGUCCAGACUCCUACGGGAGGCAGCAGUAGGGAAUCUUCCGCAAUGGGCGAAAGCCUGACGGAGCAACGCCGCGUGAGUGAUGAAGGUCUUCGGAUCGUAAAACUCUGUUAUUAGGGAAGAACAAAUGUGUAAGUAACUAUGCACGUCUUGACGGUACCUAAUCAGAAAGCCACGGCUAACUACGUG
This 497-nucleotide ribosomal RNA is filed under the name uncultured bacterium. Its description in RNAcentral is "partial 16S ribosomal RNA". It matches the Rfam family "Bacterial small subunit ribosomal RNA", at positions 28 to 507 of the family's 1533-position model. The record is from RNAcentral.